RNAcentral lists this ribosomal RNA (254 nucleotides) under uncultured bacterium. RNAcentral describes it as "partial 16S ribosomal RNA". It matches the Rfam family "Bacterial small subunit ribosomal RNA", at positions 524 to 776 of the family's 1533-position model. The record is from RNAcentral.
UACGGGGGGAGCAAGCGUUGUUCGGAUUUACUGGGCGUAAAGGGCGCGUAGGCGGCCACCGCAAGUCGACUGUGAAAUCUCCGGGCUUAACCCGGAAAGGUCAGCCGAUACUGCGGGGCUAGAGUGCAGAAGGGGCAACUGGAAUUCUCGGUGUAGCGGUGAAAUGCGUAGAUAUCAGGAGGAACACCGGUGGCGAAGGCGGCUAUCUGGACAGUAACCGACGCUGAGGCGCGAAAGCUAGGGGAGCAAACAGG